CUUUGUGCUCCUGGAGCUGUAGGUGGGGAUGCUAACCCUGGCUUCCAAGGAUCUGAAGAGGAAGCUGCGGCUGUGACUGUCCCUUUUCGGUCUGUCUUCAUCCUGCCUGACUCACGGGUCUCCUGUCCUCCUGCAUAGCUUGCGGUGGUGAGGUGAUGGCAGCCAUGGACACAGGCCAGAGAGCUGACCCAAGCAAUCCUGGUGACAAGGAAGGGGACCUUCAAGGGCUGUGGCAGGAACUCUACCAGCUCCAGGCUAAGCAGAAGAAGCUCAAGAGAGAAGUCGAGAAGCACAAGCUUUUUGAAGACUAUCUGAUUAAGGUCCUUGAGAAAAUCCCCGAGGGUAUGUACACAGCUUCCUCGGAAAGCCCUUUCUCUCCACAGCCACCUACUGGCUGCAGGACUGCGACACCGUGUGUGGCCUCAUGGAGCCACGAGCUGCUCAUCUACAGAAUGGGAAUCCACAAAGGCCAACCCCACAGUAGUGGGGAAGGGCUCAGGCAGCCGAGUCUGACUGCUUGGUCCCAACUCCAGCUCCACUGUCGCUAACAGUGUGGCCUCUGGCAAGUUCUCAAGGCCUUGAUUUUCUUAUCUGUACAAUGGGAACAGCAAUAAUUAUGUGGACUAGAUGAAGUCAUCCUUUAUAAGCACAGCACAGGGCCCCACAUUUAGCUAGUACCUGGUAAACGUUGGCCAUUAUUAU
Molecule: long non-coding RNA, 702 nt
Filed under: Homo sapiens (human)
Lineage: Eukaryota; Metazoa; Chordata; Mammalia; Primates; Hominidae
Description: long non-coding RNA NONHSAT168833.1
Source: RNAcentral